RNAcentral lists this transfer RNA (78 nucleotides) under Cordylochernes scorpioides. Its description in RNAcentral is "tRNA-Thr". Lineage: Eukaryota; Metazoa; Arthropoda; Arachnida; Pseudoscorpiones; Chernetidae. The record is from RNAcentral.
UUUCCAGGGAUGGGAAUCGAACCCACAGUGUUCCGCUGACCGGGCAGAUGCCAUGUCCACUAGGCUACCCGUCUAUAA